RNAcentral lists this ribosomal RNA (1329 nucleotides) under metagenome. Its description in RNAcentral is "bacterial LSU rRNA". It matches the Rfam family "Bacterial large subunit ribosomal RNA", at positions 1564 to 2901 of the family's 2925-position model. The record is from RNAcentral.
UGAGUACGAUGCUCUACGGAGCAGAAGUGUGUGACGUCAGGCUUCCUAGAAAAUCCCGGACCACGUUAAUCCACAUCACCCGUACCCGAAACCGACACAGGUGGGUAGGUAGAGUAUACUAAGGUGCGCGAGAUAACUCUCUCUAAGGAACUCGGCAAAAUGACUCCGUAACUUCGGGAGAAGGAGUGCCUUAUUUAUAAGGUUGCAAUAACAAGAUCCAAGCAACUGUUUAUCAAAAACACAGGUCUCCGCUAAGUCGUAAGACGAUGUAUGGGGGCUGACGCCUGCCCAGUGCCAGAAGGUUAAAGAAGUUGGAUAGUGUAUGCGAAGCUGAUGACUGAAGCCCUGGUGAACGGCGGCCGUAACGAUAACGGUCCUAAGGUAGCGAAAUUCCUUGUCGGGUAAGUUCCGACCCGCACGAAAGGCGUAAUGAUUUGGAUACUGUCUCGGAGAGAGGCUCGGUGAAAUAGACUUGUCUGUGAAGAUGCGGACUACCUGCACCAGGACAGAAAGACCCUAUGAAGCUUUACUGUAACUUGAAAUUGGAAUUGGACUUUGCUUGCGCAGUAUAGGUGGGAAGCGUUGAAGAUAUUCUUGCGGGAGUAUUGGAGCUAUCAGUGAGAUACCACUCUUGUAAUGUUAGAUUUCUAACUUUGAACCAUAAUCUGGUCAAAGAACAGUUUCAGGUGGGCAGUUUGACUGGGGCGGUCGCCUCCCAAAUGGUAACGGAGGCGUACAAAGGUUUCCUCUGAACGGAUAGAAAUCGUAUCUAGAGUGUAAAGGCAUAAGGAAGCUUGACUGUGAGACCUACAAGUCGAGCAGGGACGAAAGUCGGUCUUAGUGAUCUGACGGUACUGAGUGGAAAGGCCGUCACUCAACGGAUAAAAGUUACUCUAAGGAUAACAGGCUGAUCUCCCCCAAGAGUUCACAUCGACGGGGAGGUUUGGCACCUCGAUGUCGGCUCAUCGCAUCCUGGGGCGGUAGUACGUCCCAAGGGUUGGGCUGUUCGCCCAUGAAAGCGGUACGCGAGCUGGGUUCAGAACGUCGUGAGACAGUUCGGUCCAUAUCCGGUGUAGGCGUUAGAAUAUUGAGAGGAGCCUUCUUUAGUACGAGAGGACCGAGAAGGACACACCGCUGGUGUACCAGUUAUCGUGCCAACGGUAAACGCUGGGUAGCUAUGUGUGGAGUGGAUAACCGCUGAAAGCAUCUAAGUGGGAAGCCCACCUCAAGAUGAGUAUUCUCACAGGGUUAACCUGGUAAGGUCACGGGAAGACCACCCGUUGAUAGGCACUCGGUAGAAGUCCAGCAAUGGAUGAAGCCAAGGUGUAC